This 264-nucleotide ribosomal RNA is filed under the name uncultured bacterium. Its description in RNAcentral is "partial 16S ribosomal RNA". It matches the Rfam family "Bacterial small subunit ribosomal RNA", at positions 793 to 1055 of the family's 1533-position model. The record is from RNAcentral.
GUCCAUGCCGUAAACGUUGGGAACUAGAUGUAGGGCCUGUUCCACGGGUUCUGUGUCGUAGCUAACGCAUUAAGUUCCCCGCCUGGGGAGUACGGCCGCAAGGCUAAAACUCAAAGGAAUUGACGGGGGCCCGCACAAGCGGCGGAGCAUGCGGAUUAAUUCGAUGCAACGCGAAGAACCUUACCAAGGCUUGACAUAUAGAAGAACACUGUAGAGAUACAGGACUCUUUGGACACUUCUAUACAGGUGGUGCAUGGUUGUCGU